UACGGAGGGGGCUAGCGUUGUUCGGAAUUACUGGGCGUAAAGCGCGCGUAGGCGGUCUGUUGCGUCGGUUGUGAAAACCUGGGGCUCAACUCCAGGCCUGCAAUCGAUACGGGCAGACUAGAGUUCGGUAGGGGAGACUGGAAUUCCUGGUGUAGCGGUGAAAUGCGUAGAGAUGCGGAGGAACACCAGUGGCGAAAGCGGCUUUCUGGUCCUUAACUGACGCUGAGGCGCGAAAGCAUGGGGAGCGAACGGG
RNAcentral lists this ribosomal RNA (253 nucleotides) under uncultured bacterium. RNAcentral describes it as "partial 16S ribosomal RNA". It matches the Rfam family "Bacterial small subunit ribosomal RNA", at positions 524 to 776 of the family's 1533-position model. The record is from RNAcentral.